RNAcentral lists this ribosomal RNA (486 nucleotides) under uncultured Glomeromycotina. RNAcentral describes it as "SSU rRNA". It matches the Rfam family "Eukaryotic small subunit ribosomal RNA", at positions 596 to 1077 of the family's 1831-position model. Lineage: Eukaryota; Fungi; Glomeromycota. The record is from RNAcentral.
AGCGUAUAUUAAAGUUGUUGCAGUUAAAAAGCUCGUAGUUGAAUUUCGGGAUUGACACAUCGGUCGUGCCUUAAGGGGUAUGAACUGGUGUAGUCAAUUUCUCACCUUCUGGAGAACCGCGAUGCCCUUAAUUGGGUGUCGCGGGGAACCAGGACCUUUACUUUGAAAAAAUUAGAGUGUUUAAAGCAGGCAUUUUGCUUGAAUACAUCAGCAUGGAAUAAUAAAAUAGGACGGCAUGAUUCUAUUUUGUUGGUUUCUAGGAUCACCGUAAUGAUUAAUAGGGAUAGUUGGGGGCAUUAGUAUUCAAUUGUCAGAGGUGAAAUUCUUGGAUUUAUUGAAGGCUAACUACUGCGAAAGCAUUUGCCAAGGAUGUUUUCAUUAAUCAAGAACGAAAGUUAGGGGAUCGAAGACGAUCAGAUACCGUCGUAGUCUUAACCAUAUACUAUGCCGACUAGGAAUCAGACGAUGUUAAUUUUUUAAUGACUC